RNAcentral lists this ribosomal RNA (292 nucleotides) under uncultured bacterium. RNAcentral describes it as "partial 16S ribosomal RNA". It matches the Rfam family "Bacterial small subunit ribosomal RNA", at positions 505 to 796 of the family's 1533-position model. The record is from RNAcentral.
GUGUCAGCCGCCGCGGUAAUACGGAGGGUGCAAACGUUGCUCGGAAUCAUUGGGCGUAAAGCGCACGUAGGCGGUCCGGAAAGUCGGGUGUGAAAUCCCUCGGCUCAACCGAGGAAGUGCAUUCGAAACUUCCGGACUUGAAUAUGGAAGAGGGUCGCGGAAUUCCCGGUGUAGAGGUGAAAUUCGUAGAUAUCGGGAGGAACACCAGUGGCGAAGGCGGCGACCUGGGCCAAUAUUGACGCUGAGGUGCGAAAGCGUGGGGAGCAAACAGGAUUAGAAACCCUCGUAGUCC